Long non-coding RNA from Cervus elaphus (red deer), 410 nucleotides. RefSeq lists it as uncharacterized. The record is from RefSeq and is a predicted model, not a curated record. The transcript is spliced from 3 exons. NCBI's taxonomy places the organism in Eukaryota, Metazoa, Chordata, Mammalia, Artiodactyla, Cervidae.
UUUCUGUGCACCCAUUUGAGACAGCACUGAAGCUAAGUACUUAUGAAGUACUUUUGAAAAUUAUAAGCUCCAGAAAAAAAAAUCAGAACAGCAGUUGUCUCUUAUGGAAGUUGGAGAUGGAGAUUAACUUGGAAAAGGCAAUUUGUUAAACACUUUAUAUACACUCUUUCAUUUGGAUCCUCAGAGAAAGACUAAAGAGGCCAGCAGCCAUAUCAUGAAGACUUGAAAGCCACUCUGUGGAGAGGCCCGCAAGAGUAGAAACUGAGGCCUUCCCCAACAUCCAGGACCAACUUGCCAGCCAGAUGAGUAAGCCAUUGAAGGUGGAUCUUCCAGCCCCGUUCAAGCCAUCAGAUGACUGCAGCCCAGCUGUCAUUUGACUAAGUUUCAUGAGAACAGCCUAUUCAGAGCUU